CAAAAUGGGUCCAUGUCUGCUGCUGAACACACACGCCCAGAUCUCUGGUUCGAAAGACAUCUGAUCAGAAUUCACUAAAGCCCUAAAGAGUGAGCGAACAUCACCCCUCGACACCCACGUCACCCUCCACCUGCCAGUCAGCAGCCGGCACCAGCGAGAGGUGGUGGAGUAAAGGGAAGGAUGUGGAACAACAGGUCUGUCGGAUGUGGUGUUUUGGAAGACAGGAUUGUUUGUUGGCACCUCCAUCUGGUGAUACGACGAUACUGCAGUCAACAAAUACAAAGAGGUCACCCGCAUGGCCAAUAUGAAGUUUUAGAUGGUUGAAAUUCACACACUCUUUUCAAGUUAAAGACUCGGAGUCCCGAGGCCUCAGACACGAGCCUGCAGACCUUUGGAUUGAUUUCCUCCUGUCUCCUUCAGGUUAGCCCUCAGGAACCCCAUCCAAUCACAUCAAAUCACGGACGCCAAGUGGUGCGGUCCCGUCCAAUCACGCUGAUUGCUUUGGAAAGUCCAGGCCAUCCCUUAAGCUAACAGUGCAAUUACUGGAAGUGUCUCAUGAAAGGAAUGUGUGAGAGGAUGGGCGGGUGAAGGUGAUUAAUUGAGAAGGGAGCUCUUUAAGGGAGGAGAAAAGCAGCGGAUGAUCGAGGAAGCGAGAGACAGAGUUUCGAAGGGGGCGACGGUCGGGUAGAUCAUGAGAGAAGAGUUCAUUGAGGGAUCAGUCGGAUAAAUGGAUGGAGGGGAUGGAGAAGAGGUAUCAAUCAAUUCUAUGACCAUUGUGAGAAAAUCUGAAGAUGUUGCGAAGAGCAAACUGACCAAUGAGUUCGUAUAACACCUGUUUUAUGAACUUCUUUAGAAGGAAAAACACUAAAGCAAUGCGGAGAGCAUCAGAUACAUUUUCUUAGCCCAUAUAAGGGACAGUUCAAUUAAAAAAAAUCUGAUCUCAUUUACUCACCCUCGUGUUAUUUCAAAUGUGUAAAAAUGUCUUUGUUCCGAUCAACACAGAGAAGGAUAUUUGGAAAACCAAACAGUCCUUGGCCACCAGUGUCUACCAUAGCAUUCUUCCAAAUAUCUUUCUCUGCGUUCAUCACAACAUGAAUGAUGUCAGAAUUGUCAUUUUUGCGUAAACUGUUCCUUUAACAUUUGUUUAUUGUUUUAACUAAACUAACUUUAACUACAUUUGAUUAGAUUUCUCUGCAAACAAAUUUUAAUGUCAUUUUGCUUCUCAAAUAAAUAUAAACUGUUAUAAGAAUCUUUAGAUAUUUAUACUGGAAACAAAAUAAGAAAAUGAUUUGCUGCAAUGAAGAAAAAAAGAACCUGACUUCAUGAAGAUUUCUCAGUCUAAUCAGAUAUUACAAAUAAUACAAAGAUAAUAUGCCAAAAUAAGGAGAUAUCUUUUCCGUGUGUUAAAUUGAGUUUCUGUCCUAACCAUCCGUGACAAAGCUAAAUUAUUACAAAUUACUGUACGCCUACUAGUUAUGAAAAACCUUGAUUAUUCCUUUAAAUUUGCAUCACAGGCAAAAUAUCUUUGCUCAGAGUUCCUGAUUUAAUAAAGAUUUAUUAACAUUUCAUUUGUUGAAUAAAAUGCGAGUAAUUGAAUAAAAUUAUUGACU
Triplophysa rosa is the source of this 1610-nucleotide long non-coding RNA. RefSeq lists it as uncharacterized. The transcript has 3 exons. The record is from RefSeq and is a predicted model, not a curated record. NCBI's taxonomy places the organism in Eukaryota, Metazoa, Chordata, Actinopteri, Cypriniformes, Nemacheilidae.